ACCUGACAUUUCAAUCCUGUUUCUGCCCUUUCCUCGGUGAGUGAACUUGAGCCUAAAUUUCCUAAUCUGUAAAGUUCAGGUAACACCACCUACCGUCCCGGACUACGGCAAGGAUUAAAUGCGACGAUGUACACAAAAUACUUACUGGGACCUAGACACCAGUUGCUGCAAAUUGCCUUCCUCACUUUGCUAAGGAAAAGACCCUUGGGUCUGAGGUUUGGAGCCAGCCUAGAGGGCAAAGCUUGGUGUUGGCCUGAGCCCCGAGGAUUCCCCUCUGCCUGAGUCUCCCGAGUGACCAGUACAAGUUCCAGAUGACAGAAGAAAUACUAAUCAGCUUCCUGGAUCCCAGCCUGGACAGGAUCAGAAGUCCACAGGACAGCCGUGGCAGCCACAGUGCCCGGAGCCGGGCUGGGCUCUCCUCCCUAGCUCUGGCCCAGCCUUCCCUGUCCCCAGUCAACUGGCCCAGAAACCAAUUAGUUGCCCUCCAUUGGCUUACUUGGCCCGGGAUAGGCAAUCGUUUUGCACCUCUCUCAGAAGCAAAAUACA
Hyaena hyaena (striped hyena) is the source of this 546-nucleotide long non-coding RNA. RefSeq lists it as uncharacterized. The transcript is spliced from 3 exons. Lineage: Eukaryota; Metazoa; Chordata; Mammalia; Carnivora; Hyaenidae. The record is from RefSeq and is a predicted model, not a curated record.